UACGUAGGGUGCGAGCGUUAAUCGGAUUUACUGGGCGUAAAGCGUGCGCAGGCGGCCCGUUAAGACAGGUGUGAAAUCCCCGGGCUCAACCUGGGAAUGGCAUUUUGAACUGGCAGGCUCGAGUUCUGAAGAGGGUGGUAGAAUUUCCAGUGUAGCGGUGAAAUGCGUAGAUAUGUGGAGGAACACCAGUGGCGAAGGCGACUCUCUGGUCUGUAACUGACGCUGAGGCUCGAAAGCGUGGGGAGCAAACAGG
This 253-nucleotide ribosomal RNA is filed under the name uncultured microorganism. RNAcentral's name for it is "partial 16S ribosomal RNA". It matches the Rfam family "Bacterial small subunit ribosomal RNA", at positions 524 to 776 of the family's 1533-position model. The record is from RNAcentral.